GAGGAGGUUUUGGGCGGAUAACUGCCAAAUGAAUGGAUGGAGCUAACAUAAGCAUUGUACUGAAUGAGCGGAUCGCAGUUGGGUGGGUGUCCACUGUCCAGGUGGACAUCUUGCACAAAGCAGUCCGUAGUCAGUGCAUAAUAAUCCGUACUCGUGCCGGUAAUGCAUCCUCCAGGCGCGACCACACAGCGACAAGCGUCCAUUCCCGCGACCGUCGUAUCACUGCACUGUCGACGAACGAAGGGCAGCCCGCCAUAGAGACAGGACGUGUCAGGUCGCUAGCAAACCGUCCAGGCUAGUGAAGUGAAUCUCCAACCGGUGUCCCCAGCUGAUCAUCAUCAUCAUCAUCACUGCGGAGACUGGGCGGAGUUCUCUCUGACACACUUCACUUGAAGUCACACAAACCCUCACACACACACACACACACACACACACACACACACAUACACGCACGCGCACGCACACACAUACACACACAUACACACACACACACACACACACACACACACACACACACACACACACACACACACACACACACACACACACACACACACACACACACACACACACACACACACACACACACACACACAGGUUCGACGAUGAGGCGGCAACCUUUACCUACAGUAGUUUUGACAGCCCUGCCACUGGUAGUUGCAACCGCCAUGGCUGUUGUCAAUGCUGCUGCCCUUGAUCCUUCGCGCUGCUGUGCCUGCCCUCAUGCGACUGUCAAUGGAAGUAACUGCAACACACCAUACCCACUGCCAAGGAAUGUCACAGUGAUCGCCAAUGCUGGUGGAAAGUCUAUUCCCAUCACCGGCUACACCGUGCUAAACGUGUCGCAGCAUGGCAAUCAGAACGUUACACUCGCCAUUAAUGCAAGUCUGGCACAAGCGAAGGACGCCAAUGUUACCCACCAUGAGUACAUCGUGUACACCGAGGUCACCCAGAACAACCAGUCAGACAAAGAGUACUGCGACAAGCUGGUGGACAACAUCGCUCUGACCUACGAUCAGCUCCUGAACGGCACAUACAGUAUCCGCGUCGCCAUCUUCCAGGAACGAGAGCACAUGUGCCGGAUCCUGGGCCACAUAGUCGUGCGUAGCAACGCAGUCACCAGCUUGCCCUGUGCUCUGCUUACGCUGCUGUCGUUGCUCAUGGCUGCUGCUGCUGUUGCUGCUGGCGCUGUCUAGACUCCGAAGCAUACAAACGGCAUGUUUUCAUGGUGAAGUGCUGUCGUAGAUGUUCGAUUUUCUUUCCGUAGCUGUGCAUUGACCUGUGCUGUGCGCUGGUCUGUUGUGGAACAAACGGUGCAGCAAUGCAGUGCACUAGUUACAGUGGCUUGCAGACUGCACGUCUGGCCUUGAUGGACUUGCGUCAUCCAUCCAUUCUGGCAUACCACUGUGAGUAUCAUGCAGUAAGCUUGUUCAUGAUCACUCUCGGUAUGUGCACAGCUGUGUCUACCUCUUUCAAUUCUACGUUCAACCCCCCCCCCCCCCAUGUGCCGCAGCGUUUAGACCGUUAGAAACACUCUUCAGUCUUCAUCCUCUUUCCGUGGACUUGGUCUGCAGCACCCCAUCGCCACCGCUGCCUUGCAGUGCAACCCCAUUCAGUUAAUGUCUUGUUAGCCGGCUGUUUUUGUCAUUUCCUCCUUCUUUCUUGUUUUACGAAUUGGGUGCAUGGUUUCAAGUAAAAAAAUACAAAAAAUCCUGGUAACUCAAAGUCCCCAUCAUGCAAGUUAGGUAUUGUGAUCUAGACUCUGCUCAGUUUUCCCAUUGCCUUUGUUUUUGCAGUUUAGACGCUUUACUUUGUUUCUUUGUGCAAACGUGUUUGCUACUUUCCCCUCAAUGCCAAAAAAGUCUCCUUUUUGUGACACCAAUCUGAUCCUUUUUGUGACACCAAUCUGAUCCUUUUUGUGA
This is a long non-coding RNA of Sycon ciliatum, 1922 nucleotides long. RefSeq lists it as uncharacterized. The transcript has 5 exons. Lineage: Eukaryota; Metazoa; Porifera; Calcarea; Leucosolenida; Sycettidae. The record is from RefSeq and is a predicted model, not a curated record.